This 47-nucleotide ribosomal RNA is filed under the name Dysphania ambrosioides (Mexican tea). Its description in RNAcentral is "partial 26S ribosomal RNA". Lineage: Eukaryota; Viridiplantae; Streptophyta; Magnoliopsida; Caryophyllales; Amaranthaceae. The record is from RNAcentral.
UGCGACCCCAGGUCAGGCGGGGUUACCCGCUGAGUUUAAGCAUAUCA